This is a long non-coding RNA of Haliotis rubra (blacklip abalone), 502 nucleotides long. RefSeq lists it as uncharacterized. Lineage: Eukaryota; Metazoa; Mollusca; Gastropoda; Lepetellida; Haliotidae. The record is from RefSeq and is a predicted model, not a curated record. The transcript is spliced from 3 exons.
GAAGAGUUCACUAUGGAAGGGGGGAGCGCAAAAAAUGAAAGUGUCCCCACGGACAAUGUGACAGGUUAAGCCCUACAUAACUACACAAGACUUACAUAAGCAGUGCUGUCAUGACAGUCGCUGAUCGAAUGGGCUUGGUCCGUAGUGGGGGUGAUGAGGGAGAAAGUGGAGCACUUGCUGACACGCCCUGACCUGACAGUAUCCCAAUCCUGACCUUAUCCUGAACCAUUGUCUUUUGUUGGAGCCCUCCCCGCUUUCAUACCGGUAACAAGGGAUGAGUCUACUGUGUUUACAGUUUAGAUAUAACCUGAUCUAAUUAUCUAAACUUGAAAUAUGGUAUGCUCUUCUCUAACAUCAAAUAACUAGUUCUUACUGUCAAAUUUAAAUUUCUCGCAUCCUAUUUAUGGAUGAGAGUUCAUCUCUGUUUGGCAACAUUAAUUAUUUAUUAUGUAAUGAUAUAUAUCAUUUCUUUCUAUUUUAAAACAUAAGCAUGAUAAAUGCA